RNAcentral lists this ribosomal RNA (253 nucleotides) under uncultured bacterium. Its description in RNAcentral is "partial 16S ribosomal RNA". It matches the Rfam family "Bacterial small subunit ribosomal RNA", at positions 524 to 776 of the family's 1533-position model. The record is from RNAcentral.
UACAGAGGGUGCGAGCGUUAAUCGGAAUUACUGGGCGUAAAGCGCACGUAGUCGGCUUUGCAAGUCGGGUGUGAAAUCCCCGGGCUCAACCUGGGAACUGCAUCCGAGACUGCAUUGCUAGAGUAUGGGAGAGGGAAGCGGAAUUUCUGGUGUAGCAGUGAAAUGCGUAGAUAUCAGAAGGAACAUUAGUGGCGAAGGCGGCUUCCUGGGCCAAUACUGACGAUCAGGUGCGAAAGCGUGGGGAGCAAACAGG